RNAcentral lists this unclassified non-coding RNA (378 nucleotides) under plant metagenome. Its description in RNAcentral is "partial contains 5.8S ribosomal RNA, internal transcribed spacer 2, and large subunit ribosomal RNA". The stretch from base 1 to 105 matches the Rfam family "5.8S ribosomal RNA", at positions 50 to 154 of the family's 154-position model. The record is from RNAcentral.
GAAAUGCGAUAAGUAAUGUGAAUUGCAGAAUUCAGUGAAUCAUCGAAUCUUUGAACGCACCUUGCGCACCUUGGUAUUCCUUGGAGCAUGCCUGUUUGAGUAUCAUGAAAUCUUCAAAGUAAAUCUUUUGUUAACUCAAUUGGUUUCUACUUUGGUAUUGGAGGUCUUUGCAGCUUCACACCUGCUCCUCUUUGUUCAUUAGCUGGAUCUCAGUGUUAUGCUUGGUUCCACUCGGCGUGAUAAGUUAUCUAUCGCUGAGGACACUGUAAAAGGUGGCCAAGGUAAAUGCAGAUGAACCGCUUCUAAUAGUCCAUUGACUUGGACAAUACUUUUAUGAUCUGAUCUCAAAUCAGGUAGGACUACCCGCUGAACUUAAGC